UUAAGCGACUAAGCGUACACGGUGGAUGCCCUGGCAGUCAGAGGCGAUGAAGGACGUGCUAAUCUGCGAUAAGCGUCGGUAAGGUGAUAUGAACCGUUAUAACCGGCGAUUUCCGAAUGGGGAAACCCAGUGUGAUUCGUCACACUAUCAUUAACUGAAUCCAUAGGUUAAUGAGGCGAACCGGGGGAACUGAAACAUCUAAGUACCCCGAGGAAAAGAAAUCAACCGAGAUUCCCCCAGUAGCGGCGAGCGAACGGGGAGCAGCCCAGAGCCUGAAUCAGUGUGUGUGUUAGUGGAAGCGUCUGGAAAGGCGCGCGAUACAGGGUGACAGCCCCGUACACAAAAAUGCACAUGCUGUGAGCUCGAUGAGUAGGGCGGGACACGUGGUAUCCUGUCUGAAUAUGGGGGGACCAUCCUCCAAGGCUAAAUACUCCUGACUGACCGAUAGUGAACCAGUACCGUGAGGGAAAGGCGAAAAGAACCCCGGCGAGGGGAGUGAAAAAGAACCUGAAACCGUGUACGUACAAGCAGUGGGAGCACAGAGCAAUCUGUGUGACUGCGUACCUUUUGUAUAAUGGGUCAGCGACUUAUAUUCUGUAGCAAGGUUAACCGAAUAGGGGAGCCGAAGGGAAACCGAGUCUUAACUGGGCGUUAAGUUGCAGGGUAUAGACCCGAAACCCGGUGAUCUAGCCAUGGGCAGGUUGAAGGUUGGGUAACACUAACUGGAGGACCGAACCGACUAAUGUUGAAAAAUUAGCGGAUGACUUGUGGCUGGGGGUGAAAGGCCAAUCAAACCGGGAGAUAGCUGGUUCUCCCCGAAAGCUAUUUAGGUAGCGCCUCGUGAAUUCAUCUCCGGGGGUAGAGCACUGUUUCGGCAAGGGGGUCAUCCCGACUUACCAACCCGAUGCAAACUGCGAAUACCGGAGAAUGUUAUCACGGGAGACACACGGCGGGUGCUAACGUCCGUCGUGAAGAGGGAAACAACCCAGACCGCCAGCUAAGGUCCCAAAGUCAUGGUUAAGUGGGAAACGAUGUGGGAAGGCCCAGACAGCCAGGAUGUUGGCUUAGAAGCAGCCAUCAUUUAAAGAAAGCGUAAUAGCUCACUGGUCGAGUCGGCCUGCGCGGAAGAUGUAACGGGGCUAAACCAUGCACCGAAGCUGCGGCAGCGACGCUUAUGCGUUGUUGGGUAGGGGAGCGUUCUGUAAGCCUGCGAAGGUGUGCUGUGAGGCAUGCUGGAGGUAUCAGAAGUGCGAAUGCUGACAUAAGUAACGAUAAAGCGGGUGAAAAGCCCGCUCGCCGGAAGACCAAGGGUUCCUGUCCAACGUUAAUCGGGGCAGGGUGAGUCGACCCCUAAGGCGAGGCCGAAAGGCGUAGUCGAUGGGAAACAGGUUAAUAUUCCUGUACUUGGUGUUACUGCGAAGGGGGGACGGAGAAGGCUAUGUUGGCCGGGCGACGGUUGUCCCGGUUUAAGCGUGUAGGCUGGUUUUCCAGGCAAAUCCGGAAAAUCAAGGCUGAGGCGUGAUGACGAGGCACUACGGUGCUGAAGCAACAAAUGCCCUGCUUCCAGGAAAAGCCUCUAAGCAUCAGGUAACAUCAAAUCGUACCCCAAACCGACACAGGUGGUCAGGUAGAGAAUACCAAGGCGCUUGAGAGAACUCGGGUGAAGGAACUAGGCAAAAUGGUGCCGUAACUUCGGGAGAAGGCACGCUGAUAUGUAGGUGAAGUCCCUCGCGGAUGGAGCUGAAAUCAGUCGAAGAUACCAGCUGGCUGCAACUGUUUAUUAAAAACACAGCACUGUGCAAACACGAAAGUGGACGUAUACGGUGUGACGCCUGCCCGGUGCCGGAAGGUUAAUUGAUGGGGUCAGCGCAAGCGAAGCUCUUGAUCGAAGCCCCGGUAAACGGCGGCCGUAACUAUAACGGUCCUAAGGUAGCGAAAUUCCUUGUCGGGUAAGUUCCGACCUGCACGAAUGGCGUAAUGAUGGCCAGGCUGUCUCCACCCGAGACUCAGUGAAAUUGAACUCGCUGUGAAGAUGCAGUGUACCCGCGGCAAGACGGAAAGACCCCGUGAACCUUUACUAUAGCUUGACACUGAACAUUGAGCCUUGAUGUGUAGGAUAGGUGGGAGGCUUUGAAGUGUGGACGCCAGUCUGCAUGGAGCCGGCCUUGAAAUACCACCCUUUAAUGUUUGAUGUUCUAACGUUGACCCGUAAUCCGGGUUGCGGACAGUGUCUGGUGGGUAGUUUGACUGGGGCGGUCUCCUCCUAAAGAGUAACGGAGGAGCACGAAGGUUGGCUAAUCCUGGUCGGACAUCAGGAGGUUAGUGCAAUGGCAUAAGCCAGCUUGACUGCGAGCGUGACGGCGCGAGCAGGUGCGAAAGCAGGUCAUAGUGAUCCGGUGGUUCUGAAUGGAAGGGCCAUCGCUCAACGGAUAAAAGGUACUCCGGGGAUAACAGGCUGAUACCGCCCAAGAGUUCAUAUCGACGGCGGUGUUUGGCACCUCGAUGUCGGCUCAUCACAUCCUGGGGCUGAAGUAGGUCCCAAGGGUAUGGCUGUUCGCCAUUUAAAGUGGUACGCGAGCUGGGUUUAGAACGUCGUGAGACAGUUCGGUCCCUAUCUGCCGUGGGCGCUGGAGAACUGAGGGGGGCUGCUCCUAGUACGAGAGGACCGGAGUGGACGCAUCACUGGUGUUCGGGUUGUCAUGCCAAUGGCACUGCCCGGUAGCUAAAUGCGGAAGAGAUAAGUGCUGAAAGCAUCUAAGCACGAAACUUGCCCCGAGAUGAGUUCUCCCUGACUCCUUGAGAGUCCUGAAGGAACGUUGAAGACGACGACGUUGAUAGGCCGGGUGUGUAAGCGCAGCGAUGCGUUGAGCUAACCGGUACUAAUGAACCGUGAGGCUUAACCUU
This 2904-nucleotide ribosomal RNA is filed under the name Escherichia coli DEC11D. RNAcentral's name for it is "bacterial LSU rRNA". It matches the Rfam family "Bacterial large subunit ribosomal RNA". Lineage: Bacteria; Pseudomonadati; Pseudomonadota; Gammaproteobacteria; Enterobacterales; Enterobacteriaceae. The record is from RNAcentral.